UAGGAAUCAGAAACCAGAAAGUAAACGGAAUUAUACAGAAAAAAGUCAAGAUAUUUCUGUAGCAGUUACUGAGGUAAGUUUUUAAAAAUAAUAAUAAUAAUAACAAUUGGAGCAAUUAAUGGGAAGUAUUUACAUUCAAAAUUGUUUAUUACAUUUCCUCAAUGAGUGCAUGUUUAGCAGUCAACAGAAUCUUUAGUUUGGACAAUGAAGAGAUGGGGUGAAAAUCCUGUUCAGCCAAGAAUCUUGGGCCAGUCACCUCCUUGCAUUGCAUCCUUCCUAGGGUUGCCAUAUUUCAAACAGUGAAAAUCCAGACAGAAAAGUUGUUCCCCCCAAAAAAAGCUGUUGAGCAAAAUCUCAAAAAAGAUGUUUUUGAGCUAUUUUUAUGGGGAAAUGGCAAAAACGGCACUGCCAACCUGGGCUGCAACCCCAAUCCAACCUUGUGCUGUAGGGUUGCUUUGGGGAAAGUCUGAUACACACCACCCUGAUCUCCUGGGACAGGCUGCUAUAUGCAAAUGUAGUUAAAUGCAUAGUGAUAAUUACAUUACCCAAACUCAUGACCUUAAUUUGAGGUAGGGGGAUAGUGGUGAGGUGGGUCCUGCAUUUAGCAGUACAGUGGUACCUCGGGUCAAGAAAUUAAUUCGUUCUGGAGGUCCGUUCUUAACCUGAAACUGUUCUUAACCUGAAGCACCACUUUAGCUAAUGGGGUCUCCUGCAGCCGCCGCACCGCCGGAGCACGAUUUCUGUUCUCAUCCUGAAGCAAAGUUCUUAACCCGAGGUACUAUUUCUGGGUCAGCGGAUUCUGUAACCUGAAGCAGCUGUAAUCUGAAGCGUCUGUAACUCGAGGUACCACUGUAUUCCACAGUGUUAUGAUUGUUGCCAAUCCUGCUAUAUUAUAGUUAUUAGAAGCACAGAGUUGGAAGAUGCCUCAAAGGACAUCUAGACUAGUUCCCUCCUGAUGCAUAAAAUUGACUUACGGGGGGGGGGGGGGGAGCCAUGACAAGUAGCCAUGGCCCCCAUUCAUAUGUGAGUUGUAGCCCUUCCCUUGGCAUCUAUGUACACAUUGUGAACGUCUGCAAGGAGAGGAAGUCCUUUGUGCAUACAUUUUCACUCGCAUGACCCGGAACUCUGUCUGGGCAGCUGCACACAUGGGAGGAGGGGACCAUGCAGUGCACUUGGGGGAGGUGGGCGAUUCAGCCCAUUCCCUCUCUUGCAUGUUGAUUUAAGAUGCAAGACGAAUGCCUGAAGACAGCUUCAUCUGUGGCCUAAAUCAACCAAUAGUUUAUUUCUCAUCUCAUUGUUCCAGGUGUAGUGCAGCUGCACGUGCGAAACUUUGUUGAGAUCCUUUAGCAGACUUGCCAAAUGCCUUGAAUGGUUCUCCUUCCAACAUUCAAUUUCACACCAGAAUUUUGCAUAAGGGACCACAUGCAGCACACAAAUUUAGCACUCUUCAUACCACUGGAAUAAAAUAGUUAUAAAAACUUUACCAGUUUUAUUUCUGCAAGUCCAGCAUUGGUUUUUAAAGUGGAACUCUGCACAAUCUUUGUACUGCAGCUUCUGUGUAUAGUUUCUUUACUUUUUAAUAUAGAUUUCAGAAUGCCUCUUGUAAAUGAUUUAUCUCUCCCCAACAGUGAUUUUAAGGUUUAAAACAUUUCUGCUAGUUGCAUUCUUAACAUGUUUCAGUUUUCUGCUGCCAACCAUACUGAAUGUCGAAGUUCUUCGUAUUUAUGAUUCAUGAGCCCUUUAAGGCAUAUUAUGAAAGGUGAGUAUUAUUUGGUAACUGGCGGUAGGCAAACUUGUAAGUUUUCCGUGGCCUCUUGGUCAAGGUUCAAGGAGGGAGUGAUAGACUUUUUGUUUCCUGCUUGUUUGCUUUAAACAAUGAUCUGAGGGAAGCAGAGAGGAGAACAUAGCCUCAUUCAGGGCUGUCCACAGCGUCAAGGCAAAAGUGUUCAGCCUGUGUGUAGAACAAGGAGGCUACUUAAAAGCAAAGGAUAUUGCGCAAGGAAUGCAAUCGCUCAGCCAGGAACGGGCAGUCAGUGCGGUCUCACAGUGACCCCUACAGGCAAGUUAAAGAAGGGAAGAUAAGCAAGGGGGAAAACGUGUUUGAGUUUCACAGGAAUGCCAUUAUUUUGCCAGAAGUGCUUCAUGCUGUCAGCAACAUUAUGCAGAAAUAUAAUUUUUUAAAACAAGGCAAGCAAUUGUGAAGAUUUUCAAAACAGCAACAUAGUGUUGAUGGCAGAAACUUUUUCCUUAACUAAUAAGAAAAUACACUGUGCGCCCAUCAGUACAAGGACCAGGAGACCUUCCUUGGGUUUAAAUGGCAUAAUACCAGGAAAUAAUGAAUCCUAAAUAUAUUUACCAUGCUUUAUCUUUUAGUUCUAUUUGGAAAUUGACUCCAGAAAUAGAUUGCAAUUAAUGUACAAAACAAAUAUUCCAUAUCUAUAAUUAUUCUCAUGAAAUAAUAAUAUAUAGAUAAACGGAUAAAAGUGAUAAAAAUGAUGUUAUAAUGAGAACUUAACAAUAACUAUAUGAAAAGAGAUUUUCAAAUAAUGAGUACCAUUUCAUACUUAGAUCCUUCUUCUAGUUGGAAAAAAGCUAACUUCUUUCAGUUUAGACUGAGCGUAAAGUCUUACCAAGGAAGCUGCACUUUGAAUCUUAUAAAGGAGAGGGGAGGGAGAGACUGUAAUAUUGAUGGACAUGGCAACAAACUGUCUGCUGGCACAAUCCCAUGAUAAUUAAUCUUCAAAGUACAAUGUUAAUAACAUUUUACUCAAUGCUUUUUUCUGGGGGGAAGCAGGGGUACGCAUACCCCUAAACAUUUUGUGAAUUUAACUUUGGCCUCAUUGGGGGGCAGUAUUUCAAUACGAGUAGGAAAAUAAGACACGUUGUUGUUGUUGUUUAUAGGGGAAAAAGCACUGGUUUUACUACAGUUUAGGUGCAACUGUCUUGGAAAAAAACCCCAAGUCAAUCAAUGUUUGACUAUUCUUUAACCUUUGUAGCAUUUGCCACCCAUUUUAAACUGUGUCACCUCUGCUGUCAUUUAUUUAGGAUGUAUUUCCUAAAGCCAUUUAUUUUAUAUAAUCCUCUAUAACCUGAACAAUUUAUAUUAACAUAAUGUGAUUGCCUUUGACGCUUUGACCUCACAGCAUCUAAUUUGUACAUUUAGUAGUACCAGAGAACCUAAUUUGACCUAGGUCCUAGGACUUAGCCGAGGGCAGAGAAACUCAGGGUCAGAGCCCCGGCAGGACCUUCCAGGACUUUCCCAGGGCAUGUACCCUCUCCAGUCCACGUCCCUCACUAGCACAUCUCCUCUCCCUCCUUGUGUGCUUCUGCUUACUUGCAACGUAUCACUGAACUGUGGUAAUGCCUUUUGCUUGCCUGGAUGGAGAGUGUUUGGGAGACUGGGUGGAGGAGAAACCUCUUGCCUUGGCAUCACUGUAGUAUAGUCUAGUGUACUAAGAUAAGAAUUGCUCUGUCCACUUCUGUCUCUGUCCCCUGCCCACCACUGGCAUUGUACACCACCUUGUAAUCUUUGGUGGUAUAUUAUUAUUAUUAUUAUUAUUAUUAUUAUUACCCCCAAACGAAAGACUUGUCAAAGGAAUGUGGCUUAGCCUAAGGACAUGUUAAUGAAUAAGAAAAAAAAAGAGUAUCUGUGAUCAUGUUCAGGAAAAAAAAAUCAGAUAGUUCCAUCGCUGUUCAAUUGGAAAUGUAAGCAACCUCUGACCUGUCAAAUAGCAGCAUCACUUCCUCCUGAGUAGGCUUUUGUGAAAAUUAAGCCAUUUUUGUGAGAAAGCAACCUACAUUUCCAUUUCCUAUUGAAAUUCUGAUAGUUAUAUAACCCUGAUGUAAAUGUUUUGUGCAAACAUGCACUAAAUUUAUACUUGUUUCGUAAGCGUCAGAAUAACCAUAGACCAGAGGUAUAAAGGCUGAAGGUACAUCUUUCAUGCAUAGAGCACAGCAACCUCAAGAUGUUGUUGAACUACAACUCUCAACACCCUUGACCAUUUCCCAUGCUGUAGUCCAGUAACACCUGAAGGCCACUAUUUUGGCUAAAAAUACUAUUAGACUACAGUGGUGCCUCGCAAGACGAAAUUAAUCCAUUCCGCGAGUCUCUUCGUGUUGUGGUUUUUCCGUCUUGCGAAGAACGGCUAUUAGCGGCUUAGCGGCUACUAACGGCUUAGCGGCUUUAAGAAAAAGGAAACAAACUCGCAAGAACUCGCAAGACGUUUCGUCUUGCGAAGCAAGCCCAUAGGGAAAUUCGUCUUGCGGAAUGACUCAAAAAACAGAAAACUCUUUCGUCUUGCGCGUUUUUCGUCUUGCGAGGCAUUCGUCUUGCGAGGUACCACUGUAGUACUAUUCUGGAAAGUAAAAUAAUUAAAAGGCACAUAACUAGUGAUCUAAAUAAGCAAUUGCUUUAUAAAAACAUUAUUUGAUCUACAAUAAAUUAAUGUAACCAUAGGGUGAUAUUCAGCUAAUCUUCACUUAGAGUAGAGGCUUUGAAAUUAAUGGACCUAAAUGGACCUGACUUAGUCAUGUUCAUAAAUUUUAAUGACUCUACUCUGAGAAAAAGUUAGAGGAAUACCAACCAAAGUCAGCUGCCUGUGCGAAAUAGCUAAUUGGGUGUUUCAGUAUUUUAAAUGAAUGAAACAGUUGAAUGUCAAUCCCACACAAAGUAAAAUAGUUGUUUGUUGCUCUGAAUAUGAAAUAAUGAGGAAUAGCAAAAAUCAAAUAUAUGCAAAUAUAUUGAACAUGCAAUUGCACUAUUUGGGUACACAAAAAUAACUGCAACAGAUUUGGAAGGCUUCUGCAUAUCUAAUGAAUAAGCAUAUUGUAAAAUAGCAAUGGAAAGGAGAGUUAUCUGGCGCAAGCUCUCUGGAAUCGUUAAGUUGCUUUUAGGUAAAAGGAGGCAAACAGUUAUUGGCUGCUAGCUAUGCUUUGCAAAUUUCUAUUUUGUUCUUUUCAACUACUGCUGACUGUUUGCCAAUACAUGUGAACGUUUUUGUCAACAAGAAUUAGGCACAGUGAUUUCUGCAUCCAUCUUGUGACAUGGUAAAUACUGCAAGAAUUCUGUGGCUCUAUGCUCAGUGCACACAUUUCAUGACCUACCGAGUUGCAGCGACAGGUUUCGCAGAAGGUGACUGGUCUGGGGGCGGGGCAGGAGGGAAUAGGAUAGUGUCUUACUUAGCUCUUAAUUUGUCUACUCCCAAAGGCCAACUGAAAUUGGCCCAAUGAUAACAUUUUAAAUGUUCUAAUUUUCCUGCAGUGCUCCAGGGCUGAUAACAACACCAGCCAUUUACGAGAUGUUGCUUAGUGCUGGCACAUUAGGUACCAAAGAGCUUGUGAGAGCACAGCACACAUAUUCAAAAGAAUAUUUCCUUUAGUGCUGACAGUAUGAGGACCAAAUUGUAAAAUCAAUACUGCAGUGAGGGGUGGCAGGAGGCUGAGAAAUAAGAGCUUGCCUCUGAACUUCUGAACUUCAUGGUUCACAGCCUGAUCUCUUAGCUGCUAUGUUAAAAGAGUGUGCAUUACAAGGAGUUACCAGGAGCACAGAGGGAAGCAACGCCAUGGUACACCUGCAUCAGCGCCACCAGACAACAUCAUCUGCCCCAGUUGCAUCAAAGCAUGUCUCCCACAUUGGUCUCUACAGCCACAGCAGCUGCUGUAACUCUCCAGUGGUUUGACUUCACUCCCAAAGGUGCACUCUUCCACUGUCUCCUGAGACAGAUGGAUGCCAACCAACAACCAGUGGCUGCAGCACUGAGCUGUGAACCAGAAAAUCUCGGGUUCAAAUAUCUGCUAUGAAUUCCCUAGUCAUUUGAACAUUCGUUUAUGUAAUAUGUUAUCUUUUAUUAAUUUUUAUUUCUGUACAGUCUAAAUGGUACAAUAACAAGACUAUUUUUGUAGCAAAAGAAACAAAAGCAGGUCUCUUGUCUUGCCAUGUUUGUGGAGGAGCAGCUAAUACUUUUAGCUUCACCCACACCAGACAAUUCUUUCUGCAGCAACUUGUGGUGUGUGUGGUUGGCUGCAGUGAAUUCAAGUGCAUAAGAAGCUGCUAACAAAAAGGGACAUCUGGUUGCAGAGGUGUUCUGAUCACCUUGAGCUUCCACAUCUGUGCAGAUGCAAGGUGCAGAUACUCACUACCAUGCACAACACAUAGUUAGUUGCUGCAGAAAGGAUUAAUGAUGUUGAAACUAAGAACAUAGCCCCACUCCCAGUGGUGGACUUUGGGCUUUCAAAUUUCAGCGGCAUCCCGUGCAAUACCAAAAUCCAGCACCCCUCACUUUUUGCCUUCCAUUCUAAGUCAUUGUUGCAGCACCCCCUGCAGCACCCUCUUGGAUCAGUGCCCAGUGUGGGCAAGCCUGUCGCAUGCCCCUAAUUCUGCCUUUGCCACGCCUCCAUCAAUGCAGCAACGUUACACGAGUAAAAUGUGAAUAAGGCUUUAGCUAAGCCACUAUCUCUUACUUUCAUUCCCUUCUAGAAUAUGAGGAUAAUAAUCCCAACCUAUGUUAUAGGAUUUAUGUAUCUAACACAGCUUGAACAAUUAAAGAGCGCUAUAUAAAUAAAUGCUAAGUGUUUGUAUUUAGCUGGGAGCCACUGCCCAGAAGGCUGCCUCUGGAGGGAAGGACUGGAGCAGAAGGGAAUGGAAACACCUGCGAGACCUUGGCCUGUAUCCUGAGGGUAUGAUUUCCUCCCACUGCUCAGGUAUUUAGCUGGGAGCCACCACUCAGAGGUGCAAACUGAAGGACAAGAGCCAGUUCUUUCAGCUAGUGGGUCAGUUGUCAGCUGAGCAAUCCCUGCUGACCCUAAACCAUCAAGAGCAGAUUCCCCUUCCACAAGCAAGACAAAGAACAGCUUUACUUAUUAUAGGACCUAUGGGAUCACCUCUCCUGGUAUGCCAGGCCUUUGGUGGGGGCGCAGUCUGACCCCCUCUCCUCCUACAAGACCCUAUAGAUAAGAGGCCUCUCUAAUUUGUCUCAUCGGCUCAUAUAAAUAGCUGAGCCUGGUGAGUACCUAAGGUUCCCAACCCCUAUAGUCAUAAUUUGACGGUUGCCUUCUGAUCUUAUUUGAUUUUAAUCCAAUUUUAAGCUGUAUUUCAG
Podarcis lilfordi (Lilford's wall lizard) is the source of this 7094-nucleotide non-coding RNA. Lineage: Eukaryota; Metazoa; Chordata; Lepidosauria; Squamata; Lacertidae. The record is from the annotation of a GenBank genome assembly.